RNAcentral lists this unclassified non-coding RNA (376 nucleotides) under soil metagenome. RNAcentral describes it as "partial contains 5.8S ribosomal RNA, internal transcribed spacer 2, and large subunit ribosomal RNA". The stretch from base 1 to 120 matches the Rfam family "5.8S ribosomal RNA", at positions 35 to 154 of the family's 154-position model. The record is from RNAcentral.
GAUGAAGAACGCAGCGAAAUGCGAUAAGUAAUGUGAAUUGCAGAAUUCAGUGAAUCAUCGAAUCUUUGAACGCAUCUUGCGCUCCUUGGUAUUCUGAGGAGCAUGCCUGUUUGAGUGUCAUUAAAUUCUCAACUACACUGACUUUGAAUUGGUGUGGCUUGGAUUUGGGGGGAAAAUUGUUGUGGGCUUUUUGUAUAGUCUGCUCCCCUGAAAUUGAUUAGCGGUACCUUUGUGGAACUGUCUACAGGUGUGAUAAUUAUCUACAUCUUAGACAUCUGCUGGAAUGCUGCUUUCUAAACCUUACUUGUAUUGACAAUCUUGACCUCAAAUCAGGUAGGACUACCCGCUGAACUUAAGCAUAUCAAUAAGCGGAUGA